Long non-coding RNA from Talpa occidentalis (Iberian mole), 356 nucleotides. RefSeq lists it as uncharacterized. NCBI's taxonomy places the organism in Eukaryota, Metazoa, Chordata, Mammalia, Eulipotyphla, Talpidae. The transcript is spliced from 4 exons. The record is from RefSeq and is a predicted model, not a curated record.
UGUGUCACAUGUAGUAAAAUGAAACUUACUUUUCAACUAACUCAACUAAACUCGUUAACUCCACUUCAAGAUUCCCAGAACCACAACAGACACCUCUGGACCUAACACCCACUUCCACAUUAUCCAGUUAUUCGAAUUCCUGAAACAUCAAUGACUCCAAUGUGAAGUAGGUACCCUUACUAUUUCCAUUUCGAAGAUGAAGAAACUGAGCACAAGGAGCAAGAUUACUUCCCAAGGACCACACAACUAGUAUGCAACACAACUUGGGCCCAGAAUAUCAUGUAAAUGGAAUCAUACAGCCUCUUGAGACCAGCUUCUUUCACUUAGUAAAAUGCACUUGAAUUUCAUUCUUCUUC